AUGUGCCAGUCGGUUUCAAUUGUGGUUCUGGUUGGGCAGGACCUAACUAUCAAACCAAAGUAUCUUAUAACAUUUACUGUUGGUUGUGAUCAGAAAAAAAAUGUUGAGGCAGCAGUUAAAAAGUUCUCUGAGGACUUUACCAUCCUUCUAUUUCAUUAUGAUGGCCAAACAACUGAAUGGGAUGAAUUUGAGUGAUCAAAGAGGGCUAUUCAUGUGAGCGUUCAGAGACAAACAAAAUGGUGGUAUGCCAAAAGAUUUCUGCAUCCUGACAUUGUGGCGUCAUAUGACUAUAUAUUUAUCUAGGAUGAAGAUCUAGGAGUUGAGCAUUUUAAUGCAGAAAAAUAUAUAAGACUAGUGAGGAAAUAUGGUUUGGAGAUUUCACAACCUGGUUUAGAACCUAAUAAAAGGUUAACAUGGCAGAUGACAAAAAGAAGAGGUGAUCGAGAAGUUCACAAGUAUCUACCAGAGAAACCGGGUUGGUGCCCUAACCCACAUUUGCCUCCCUGUGCAGCGUUUGUUGAGAUCAUGGCUCCUGUAUUUUCUAGAGAUGCAUGGCGGUGUGUGUGGCAUAUGCUUCAGAAUGACCUGGUACAUGGUUGGGGUCUUAACUUUGCUCUUAGAAGAUGUGUAGAGCCUGCCCAUGAGAAAAUUGGAGUUGUAGAUUCUCAAGGGAUCGUUCAUCAAACUGUUCCCUCGCUUGGGAACCAGGGGCAAGCGGAGAAUGGGAAGGCACCAUGGCAAGGGGUUAUGAGGGAGAGGUGUAAAAAAGAGUGGACCAUGUUUCGAGUUCGCAUGACCAAUGCCGAAAAAGCAUAUUACAAGGAGAUGGGAAUUAAUCCUACCAAUUCCACAAUUGAUUAGGGGAUGACCCUCACAGAAGCUGACCUGUAUACAAUCAUAAUUACCACUGUUCUUAGGGUUUAUUUUAUUUUAUUUUAUUUAAUAAUAGUGAUCAUUUUUU
Vitis vinifera (wine grape) is the source of this 961-nucleotide RNA transcript. RefSeq lists it as uncharacterized. The record is from RefSeq and is a predicted model, not a curated record. NCBI's taxonomy places the organism in Eukaryota, Viridiplantae, Streptophyta, Magnoliopsida, Vitales, Vitaceae. The transcript is spliced from 11 exons.